This 496-nucleotide ribosomal RNA is filed under the name uncultured bacterium. RNAcentral describes it as "partial 16S ribosomal RNA". It matches the Rfam family "Bacterial small subunit ribosomal RNA", at positions 28 to 506 of the family's 1533-position model. The record is from RNAcentral.
GAUGAACGCUGGCGGCGUGCCUAAUACAUGCAAGUCGAGCGAACAGACGAGGAGCUUGCUCCUCUGACGUUAGCGGCGGACGGGUGAGUAACACGUGGAUAACCUACCUAUAAGACUGGGAUAACUUCGGGAAACCGGAGCUAAUACCGGAUAAUAUAUUGAACCGCAUGGUUCAAUAGUGAAAGACGGUUUUGCUGUCACUUAUAGAUGGAUCCGCGCCGCAUUAGCUAGUUGGUAAGGUAACGGCUUACCAAGGCAACGAUGCGUAGCCGACCUGAGAGGGUGAUCGGCCACACUGGACCUGAGCCCCGUUCCAGACUCCUACGGGAGGCAGCAGUAGGGAAUCUUCCGCAAUGGGCGAAAGCCUGACGGAGCAACGCCGCGUGAGUGAUGAAGGUCUUCGGAUCGUAAAACUCUGUUAUUAGGGAAGAACAAAUGUGUAAGUAACUAUGCACGUCUUGACGGUACCUAAGCAGAAAGCCACGGCUAACUACGU